UACGUAGGCAGCAAGCGUUGUUCGGAGUUACUGGGCGUAAAGAGUGCGUAGGCGGUGCCCUAAGUCUGUUGUGAAAUCUCCCGGCUUAACUGGGAGGGUGCGGUGGAAACUGGGGUGCUUGAGUGUGGGAGAGGUAAGCGGAAUUCCUGGUGUAGCGGUGAAAUGCGUAGAUAUCAGGAGGAACACCGGUGGUGUAGACGGCUUACUGGACCACGACUGACGCUGAGGCACGAAAGCGUGGGUAGCAAACAGG
This 253-nucleotide ribosomal RNA is filed under the name uncultured bacterium. Its description in RNAcentral is "partial 16S ribosomal RNA". It matches the Rfam family "Bacterial small subunit ribosomal RNA", at positions 524 to 776 of the family's 1533-position model. The record is from RNAcentral. RNAcentral also lists the same sequence under 1 other name.